UGUGUAGACAUGGAGGACACUUUAUACAGUAACUCUGUUCUCUGAGGACCAGGAUGGACCCUUGCCCAGGAAAGUGGGCUGUUAGUAUUACACCGAAACAUAUCACUUUAAAGAGUCUGUAUUCCCAGCUCUUUUAGAGUAUGUCAUCUUUGGAUGAUUCAUGCUGAAAAUGAGCCGUGUCUUGCUCACUUUUUCUCUGUUGAGCAUUUAAAAAAAACCUAUUUAGACAUUUGGCACAUACAUUAUUUUCUUAGCUAUUUGAAUAUUUAACUG
This 273-nucleotide long non-coding RNA is filed under the name Bos taurus (domestic cattle). RNAcentral describes it as "long non-coding RNA NONBTAT015104". The record is from RNAcentral. Lineage: Eukaryota; Metazoa; Chordata; Mammalia; Artiodactyla; Bovidae.